Molecule: unclassified non-coding RNA, 323 nt
Filed under: rhizosphere metagenome
Description: partial ribosomal RNA internal transcribed spacer region
Source: RNAcentral
GUAGGUGAACCUGCGGAAGGAUCAUUAACACGUUUUUUCCAACGUUUUUGACCCAUUCUAUUUUCUGUGCACCAAUCAUGCGUCCGGCCUCCCAGCCGCCUGUCGAGUUUACUCGGCGUGGCCUGUUGGGCGUCUUUGGGAUCAAAGGAAAGUGGGGGAGUGCGUCUCGGCGCGUCUCUCCUGCUGGCCUCCCUCUGGCGUUGCCACCUCACCCAAACCCUUUAAUCUAAUCUAUCUGAACUUUUAGUUGAAGAGUCUUUUCGGAGACUUGACAACGACACAAAACAAAACAACAACUCUUAACAACGGAUAUCUUGGUUCUC